This 1077-nucleotide long non-coding RNA is filed under the name Callithrix jacchus (white-tufted-ear marmoset). RNAcentral describes it as "lncRNA (ENSCJAG00000065045.2)". The record is from RNAcentral. Lineage: Eukaryota; Metazoa; Chordata; Mammalia; Primates; Cebidae.
GGAGAUUAUUAACAAACAGUUGUCUUUACAUUAUGUCACAUAAAUACACAUAAAUGUUUUUGUGUAUCUAGUUGUUGAAAGAUAUUGACACAAAUAUAGGUGUAGGUAUUUGUACAGAUAUAUGUAUUUUUAAAACGAGUUAAAAACACGUUUUCCAUUAUCAAGCUUUAUAGAUUUGAAUCUCAGAUUCACAGCUUAUUUGUGUAAACAUGGGCAAGACACUUAUUUCCUCCAAGGCUGUUUCUUUCUUUCCAUUUCUUUUGUUUGUUAUGAUAAAUAAACCACAUAAUUCACACAAAGUUCUUAGCACUGAGCAUGGGACAUAGUAUAUGUUAACUAUACUCUAGCAAUCAUUAUAAUCAUGGUGCCAUCAGAGAAUUUCUCUACUGAUUUUGUUAACGUUGUCCCUGAAAAAUAGUACAGUUGCAAUAAAAUUGAGGCAAUCCAUACCUUGCUAUUUGCUAGUGAAAAGAGUUAGCCAUCUUGCAUUAGGAAGACAGUAAAUGAAGGGUACCCCGGAAAACCUCAGAUCUGCCCCGCACGCGCUUACACCGUAAGUUUGGCGCAGCUAAACGAACUUGCGCAGGGGUGGCUUACCUAAACAUGGCCGCAGGGUACAAAGAACACGCAUGCGCACUAAAUCUGCAUGCGCACUAAGGAUACUCAUGCGCACUAAGGGUACUCAUGCGCACUAAGGGUACUCAUGCGCACUAAGGGUACUCAUGCGCACUAAGGGUACUCAUGCGCACUGGGGAAAUGAGGUCCUGGGGCAAGGAAUUCACGCCGUAUUCAAAAAAGGAACGCGGCUCCAUUAGCCGUGAGGUCCAUAAAUGGAGAAGAAAUUUACUCCAUGGUGGACUCACCCAUAACUGAUUUAGAUGAUGAGGUGUGGGACAUUUUCAGAUGAUUAUAUUCAGGUGAGAUUUUGAAUUGUAUUUAAUGCUGCAUAAAGAUUCAAGGGAAUGUUGAAAUUGGGUGAAUCCAUAUUGUAUGUGAGAAACACAUGAAUUUGGGCAGCCAGAGGACAGACUGUUAUGGAUUGAAUUUUGUCCCCAAAAAUAUAUUUUAAAGCAUUGG